Molecule: long non-coding RNA, 8819 nt
Organism: Nomia melanderi (Alkali bee)
Lineage: Eukaryota; Metazoa; Arthropoda; Insecta; Hymenoptera; Halictidae
Source: RefSeq, a predicted model, not a curated record
AUGAAUAUAAAUAUCGUCGCUUGUACCAUUUAUUCCUCUUUUGAUUGAUCUGCCCUCGUGCUUCAUAGAGUGUGUUCAUUUUAAAUUAUUCGUUGAAGAUUUAUAGUACAUAUAAAUGUCUGUUAAUUUCUCACUCUCGAAGAGAAGCCUGUAUUAUUGGAACUGAAGAGAAAGUUCCAAGUAACGACUAAGGAAACAAUCGACAAGAGAAACGAACCAACAUUCUCAAUCUUUCCAUCAGAUUUAUUUCUGACCAGAUAGGACCACAAACAGCGACAACGGAGUUUAAACGAAAAUGUCGUAACAUUAAUCAACAAUGAAGUUGAUCGAGUUUUAAACGGCCAUUGACUUCUACAUCAAGUAGCCACGAGAAGAGAAGUACAGUUACAUCAGUUUAUUGAAUAUAUAAUUAAGAUGCAAUUGGGUUACUUAUGGAAGAUAGAAGAGUAAUGAAAAUCUAGCAUUGCUUCUAAGUCAGUUUCACGGCGUUUCCGGAGUUAUAUCAUAUUAAUUUUAUUUGACAUGUUAUUCUGUGCUCCGUCCGGUGGUGUAGUUUAAAUGAAUGAUGAACGAAAACGUAUAUUAUGCUCCUUCUUUUUGCACAGAUACAAAAGAAAAAUACUCAAGUCUAUUUUUUGUACUGUUGUGUGACAUAUAAAUCAUUGCUGAAUAAUUAAUUGAAUUGAAUUGAUAGAAAUUAUAAGAAUGGGGAGCACAUUAAAUUGAGUAUAUUAAAUUGAAUUCACAUAACGAGCUGCAGCUUGAAAAAUAAUAUGAACAGAUAACGUUGGAAGAUACAUAUGUUACCGUUCAUUCAAAUACAAAUUCGAACAUCACCGAGGCUAACAGUUCUUCAUCAAUUACCAUUAGGCCCAAAUGCAUACUUGAAAUUUUAAUGACACAUAAAGGUAGGAUUAAUACACUUGUGUGCGUGCACUUAUACGUUGUUUACCGUGCCACAAUAUUCCUAUGACAGUGAGAAUUUAUACGAGCACAAAAAGAAACUUUCGCAAUACGUCAGCCGGAUCCCAGAUAUCAUUUGUAAAAAAAAGAUUUCUUCACACCAAUUUGUCUUAUUUCUUUUGUUUUGAGAGAAAUGAUUGUAAUGAAUCCUUGCAUACUGUAUAGAUGAAAAGCAACACGGACAAAUUUAGAUCAUUAUAACUGUAUAUCGAGGAUACUUGUUGAUGCAGAUGUAUAGUAUCACGUAGAAGUAUACUUAUAUAUUUUCUAUUUGGUCGUAGAGUGGCUAAAUUUAGAAUAACAAUUUAUUUUUAUUAGCUUUGUUUUUUUACUGUUAUGUUAAAGACUUUAUUUGCAACAUUGAACGGCAGACCGAUUGCAUUGAAAAUCGAAGAAAGUUACAGAAUAUUAGAAGUUCUUUGAGUAGCACUCUGAUCUGGAAUAUAUUGUAAUUGCCUAAGAGGAUAUCAUUAUUAUAUUCUGCAAUAUUUAGCCACCCUGCGGUAAACGUAAGUACUUAAACCAAAACAAUUGAUAUAUACGUAUAUACUAUUGUCCAUUCUUACUCUCAAACGCGCAAAUAUAUAUUAAUAUUUCUUGAGUUAACACAGCUAUUCCUAUGUACACAUCAUACUCAUUUAACGUCCGUUCUAUUCUCAAUUAAUUUAAACAGCUCACUGUCUACAGAAUGGCUUGCCAUUCCCUAGACACAUGUUUGUGAUGUCAACAAAUUAUCCAGAAGAUAUCAACGUGUCGAGAACAACGAAACUAAAAGAACGACGUCAUUUAAAAGAUGAGUGUACCGUAGAAUCGUAAUCGCUACAAAGCUGAUUUCAACUUCAUGGGAGUAGUUGUUGAUUCAAUUUCAUCUUUUUAUUCUUCGCUUGUAUCAUGAUGUGAACACUAAUGGUAAUGGCAAUGAGAGUUAGCCACGGAGAUUUAUAGCCACCCUGGUUAAACGUAACAGUGUUGCGUUUUAAUAGAGAAUACUUAAAGUAAAUAUACGACAAACACAGUUGCGAAUCCAUUGUACUGUGUCAGGAAUAGCUUCAUCGUUGAUCGCAAUUGUGUAUGCUUUGUACGUAUAAUUCUUCGCUAAAUGAUAUACCAAAACAGUGCAGUGGGCUGACAGAAGAUCGUAGGUACAUUUUAUGGUAUAUUUGUAAACUACUUCAGCAUAAUGAAAAUGUAUCUAAGGAUCAGCUUAGGCACACCUGCACUGUGUCGGCAAUCAGAAAACACAGACGUUUGUGUACGUUCACCCAGGUGUAUUCUUCGGAUAGCAUAGCAAGCUGUGUUUUUUCUACACCGAAUUCCCCGUGUGUAGUGGCUAACUUUCGAUACCAAUAAAACCAUACAGUUGAAAUAUUUAUAAGACUUUUGAUACGAUGAAAUGGAUUACUAUGAAAACUUACGACAUGACUAAGCAUCAAUCUAUAUAUGGAAUUUGGUAAACAGCGCCGACGUAUUACUACCUUUGUACUGAACUGUUCGAUGUAUAGAUCGUUACAGAACAGUACAGCACUAUUGGAAAUAGGAACGAGAAAAUGGGACGUUAAGGCUUAGAGAUUGCAUUAUAAAUGUCCACGAAUGGUUCGAAUUUUUACAAUCAUGACGUCGUCUUACACAAUUCCGACGGUCGUCUACGGUUGAAAAUGAGAAACGCCGUUUUACAUCCUUGUUUUACCAAUAUUUGAUUACCAGAGUUCAAGUUUCCUAAGUAUCUUCCGCAACGAAGAUUAAUCGUUUUAUUAAUUGACAUGAUUUGACGAAGGAGGUGUUUCUCAUUUUUCCUUUUAGUUUAGACCACCAUUCUACAAUAUCAGAAUCCUUGGGAGGACGAGAUCUACGGUUACGAAAUCCAAAAGUCCUUCUGGUAGAACAUUUUUUAAUUUGAUGUUCUAUCUUCAGAUCAUCCCAUUUUCUUUUGUUCUUCGGUGACCUGUUUUUACGUCUAAUAACGAUUUCCAUAUAAGAUUCGUUUACCUUGCGAAGAGUAUGGGAGUAAGAAUGUACUCUAAGAGCAUGGAGUACGUGAGAACAAGAGUCUGUAUACAUGAAUUAUUGUCCUUUGGUUUAAUUAUGCUUUCCAUUUGACGCAGCACCAGCGUUCAUAUCGUAUCAUUCUACGUGAUAGGUCGCAUUGCUACUGGGCAAUGUUACAAUUUCAUCUAUACUGUAUGACAAGAACUUGCGAAGUUAUCCACCUUAAUGUAAGUCGGAUACACGAUAAAUUUUUUGUAUCAUUUGUUCAAUGAUUAUCAAUUGUUUCAAAUGUAACUCCGAGUGUACAGAGUAACGGUAGAAUGUGCAUACAACACGAGAGCUUCUUAGCGAAAUCCCGUCACGAUAAUAGCUUAACGCACUAUUACACUAGAAUUUCGCCAAAUGAAGUAUAUAAGCAAUUCUACCGGAGGUGGAAUUUCGUGUUCUAUGGCUUUUGCACUUUAAUGUCUACACCUGACUGAUAGUUAAUAAUGAUACAAGAAACCGGAAUCGUGACACACUAAAUUAUCACACUUCUUACAUCAUCUACUUGGUAUGUAAGUGAUAUAUAGAAAUUUCGUUCGACGAUAAACAACAUAGGUUCAUACAGUAACUGUACUUCCGGUAAAAUCGUAGGCAUUGUUAUUUAUUGAACAUAGAAUUCCUUUUUUCGACAUUACGAUUCAGCAGAGAUUAAAAGGAACUCGCAACGAAGCAACCUGAAGUGAUACCGAUCAAAAUAUUUUUGUGAUCGCAUCUUGAUCACGAUUGCGGUCAAUACAGUAAGGAAACAACAUCAAUUACAAAUGACCAGAGCCUUUGUCACAAUGCCAAGUAUAAUAAUCGACUAAUUAAUCGCGAAACAAGAUCACUUGGACAAAUUAGUGACUCUCGUCUGCCUCCGUCGCGAGGAGGUCAUCAAUCUGCCGUUUCCACUCCAUGGUGUCUCUGUCGAUCAUUACGUUCCUAUCUUCAUUGCUAAUCACCACCUCGUAGUCCUUUAGUUCGGCUUCUAGCUCACGUUCCCAGUCCUCCUCUGUAGAGAGAGAAACAAGCUGCAUUAUAGAUUCCGCGAUGAAUUAUCGCGUGCUCGCGGGGGCGCGUGAAUCGAUACGUGUCAAGUAUACCUGUGCAUCUGUCCGUUGAUUAAUGGUAAAAGCUUGUUCUUAUUAGCCAUUGCGACACCUUAGCGAUACGAUUGUAAAUAUUGUGUCAAUUGUUCUCGGUUCCUCCCACUUCGCAUUCGAUUUGUAAUCUAUCGGUAGAUUAAGCGGGAACGAUACUCGGGAGGUAUUGAGGACUCAGGAAAUUAAUGAGACGGUGACGUUGCAUAGAAGCAGGACGAUCGAAGCACGGUAAUGAUUGUUUACGUUUCGCCACUUCUGUUAAAGCUCACUCGAACUUAGAUACCCAAGAGAUUGGUUUACAAGAGGAUACUGAUUUCCGCGGAUAGAUGACUUCGAAUAUUCGAUACUCUAUUAACUGGUUUAAUUGAUAUUGGGUUAGUUUUCAUCUGUACUACUGUUGAACACUGUUCCGAAUCGAGCAACCGAUUUCGAAGAUCAGUGGAGUCUUCAUUUGUUGCGCUUUCGUUUGUGAAAAAUACGAAUGUAUUGAUAUUCUACAAACUGGUCUUAAUUAACGAGACAUGUUCUUGUUCCUCCUCCAUGUAAGUCAUCUCGUUUCCGCCUAUAUCAGUUGCUGUUGCUUUAUCGUUUUUAUCGCUUCAUGGAAAAUUCCGUGUCCUCUUACAUCGAAAUGACAAACAGCAACAAAGUAUAUGAUAAUAAAUAUACUUUCUAUACAAUGUGAGUGUAUUCACGAUAUCGGUGCUUCUUUAGAAAGCCACAGUAACUGAGGAUCAUGAUACUUGACGAAGUGCAAUUUUUAUACGCAUUUUCGACAGCGUUAGAAUGACGUUUCAUUCGCAAUCUGUUUCGAUUCAUUAAUUCUUCUCGACAUAAGUUGUAAACGUACGAGUUGUUUGUAAUCAUGCUUCCCGCGAGCGUAAGAUGAACGAUUUAGCAAGAUGUUCUAUAAAGAAAUGAUAUCAUUAGAAAUAUCAGAAAUCGGGUUUCACUGUGUCAUGUCGCCGUUUUGUAAUGCCAAUAUAUUAUCGUCUGAUUCAUUUUAUUCACAUCGAAAUGAGAUGCGACAUGGGUAAUUUUCAUUUGCUAUAAUUAUUGUCGCACUAGCAGACAUUCUCAGCGAUUACUGUGCUUCUUAUAUUUACAUAUUCAUCUAAUGAUUUGUCCUCAGACCGGUGUAAGCGUUGAAUAAUUCCCAAUAGUUUCGGAAACCUCUUAUAAACUGCUCUAUUUUCAUGCUUUCUUUCAUUACCAGACUAUUGUUUGCUUUUUAUGAUAUCUGCUUUGUUUGAUACAUUCAGGAUUAGGCUACAAAAUGUGAACAGUGAAUACGAAUGAUUCAGUCGUUGCCUGUGGAAAAGCAUAAUCAUAUAUUGAACGUAACAACUGAAGUUCGAGACUUAUAUAUCGUCAUUUUAUUCGUUCGAAUGUACCAGUAUCGUGAUUAAAUUUAGAAAAAUAAUUCGCCGUCGAAGGGUUGGGUGUCGCAUGUGCAGGAAUUUGAUCACAUUAUAGUGGCCUCGGACUUUAAUCAAUAUCAUUGCGCAGGAGCUGAUUAGAAUUCGUAGUUUCUAUUCUUUCUUGUGAGUAGAUCUGCCUCUUGACGACACAGUUUGAACAAUAUUUUAAAUAUCGUUGAGUAAUGGUAACUUGUGGUCAAAAUAUUAAAGUGGAAACCUUAAACCUCACGCAGAUGUUGUAAUUGAUAAUUAUAUGAAAGCUGCGCAUCACGUACAACAUCAGUUCUGCAUAAUUAAGAACCCACAUUCGCUAUCCCCCGCCCACUGAAAUUCUACAAUUUAUAUCAUCAAACCAUUUCUCCAAGUACUUCACUUCACACAUUGCAAUAAACACUUUCGAGUAAUUUACUUUAUCAAGGUACCGUAUCUGCGCAGUCGAGUAUGUAAAAUACUCCAUCUUCUGAAAUCAUUUAUUAAUGUGAAGUCAACCGACACUUCAUCUAACGGUUCAGUGUACUGCUUGCCGGAUUCCGUAAAUUUUUGUGUGAAAUUCAAUUAAUAUCGCAUAUUUCUCGUUACGGUUUAUAUUUCUCCUUUUAAUUGUCGUUACUAUUGGCUAUCAUGAUGCAUUUAACAGCUUCUCGGUGUGUAUGGAAAACCUUGUACAAAAUAGUCAAACGUAAUUUAAUUACCAAGCCUUUCCAUGCUAAAAGGUGGAAAAAAGUAUUUCGUCGGUAUUUAUUAUUUAUUUGUUUAUACACUAUUGAAUUUUAUAUACGAUCCGGUUGUAUAGAAACAAAAUCAAAUAUUCCCAGAAGCCUGAUCGCAUUGUGGUUCAUAAAAAGAAACCUGCACAUAAGUUAUGAUGUUUCGUGAACUUUAUCGGAGAAUAUGCAUUUUUUUCAAAUUGACUUCCAUAGAAUUUUCCAUCCGACGCUUUUAGAGCAGUGUGAAACUUUUUAAACUGUUCCAAACUUGUUUCUGUUCAAUUGUAGUACAGCAUUCCUUGGGGAAUAUUGCGGGGAAAUAUAUUAUGAGCACAAGUUACACCAUAAUCUCCGCCGUCGCUUGUUUUGUUGUUUUCAUCGCUUCUCAGAUUAGCGUCAAUUUUUGUCGUUCAACUGUUGAAUCACCGAUAAAAUUUUUAUUUUCAUUCUUCAAUCCAUUUUGUUUUUCAUGCCAGACACGACGUAAUUUAUUUCUAUAUAUAUUCUAUCUCCAGUCUUCACUUUCGCCGUCUCUAUUUGUAUAAAACAAUGUCCAAAUGUUUCUAAUAAUUAGUCACAGGACAAUCUUUCGAAGUUGUCAGUUUUUAUUUGGAUAUUUUAGGAGUUUCUUAAUUUAUUAUCGUCAUUUUCCGUAAUAAAGGCCCCCAUGCUGAUUCAAGUUACUCCUUUACGUUGUUUCGUUUGUUACGUAAUAUGAUCGUAUAGAUGGAUGAAAUAACUAAAUGAUAAAAUACAGAAUGGCUGAAUAAAAGAAGAGUAUUCGAAGACGGAGGCAACGGAUUGAAUCAACGUCUGCAUACAAUCAUGUUCCAAUAAUGUUCAAAGAUGUCUUGUUUCUAUUAGUCUUCUUUUUCUUAUUAGCCUAUUACUUAUAUCAUGAAAAUUCUGUUUUCUCUUAUGCCUUUCAUCUUAUUCCUCAAAUUUUACAAUCCACUUGCCUUUAUAGUACUUUCUUUGCAGCAAUGCUUAUGCAGAUCAACCGAUUUUCUUAUUAUUUGCUUCUAUGGCAUUCUGUGGCCAGUAGAAUAUCUAUUUUCUACCAACGUCCUUAAAUAGUCCGUUCAUUUUUUCUCGUAACAACGAGUCAAUAUUAAUAUAUUUGGACUUUAGAUCCUUUUAAUCAUUAUUAGUCAGCAUCGACUCUAGCAUGUGUACAGCAUUUACAGUUAUCAAACAAUCAAUUUUGCUUUACAGUCAGCUUACGGAUGUAUAAUUUAAAAAAUCAACCAAAUCGUAUAUAAUCAACCUAUUCGAAUUGCUGUCAAAUUAUUUAUAUCUCUCAAAUGAUUAAAAACAUAGAGGACAGAAUCGAAAAUUGCGGUGAAUUGUAAAUUAGUCGCCUGUUAGGAACAUGGUAUUUAUGUGUUAAAGGAUACCAGUGAUCCGUUAGAUAGUACGCGAAUGAUGGUAAAAAAAGCGAGGAUACAAAGUCAUGAAAACGGCAGUGAUGAAAUUCAUCGAUAUGUUAGAGGAGUUAAAGGAGGGGUCUCGAUGGAGAAUCAGAGUAUUAAUAAAUCAUUGGUGCCUGUCGGAACGGUCUACAAAGAAGGUUGCUAACAUGGUUUUUCUGAGAGUUCGACGUACGGUCAUUGACUUGCCUCCUCUUCUUUAAGCUGUUAACAAAAUAGAAACGAAAAACAGGUCGUUUAGUCACACAAUUAAUAGUGUAUGAGAUACUGUUAGGCGGCGGACAAAAAGCGUGGGGAGACAAGCAACCAGGCAGAGACGCGGGAGACAUUGACGGGGGUGUUAGAAGGGGGUGGGUCGCUCGAGGGGGCGCGAGGUGGUGCGACGUGGGAAAGUUGGUUGACGACGAGAACGACGGUUUCCUACGGGGAAGUGCACCGGGAGAAGGAAGUUGGAACAGUUGCGUGAGAAACGGGGGAUGAACGCAGACACUACGGUGACAAGGCAUUAAGAACCUUCGGGGAACAUUGUUUGCGACACGACAAUCGUCAGUGUCGCGUUGAUUCACCGACAGUUUCGGACACGUCUCGCGCACGGAUCAUCGGAUCCUAAAACUCCAGUUUCUUUCUCCAUUCGCUUCUACCGUCGUUCGAACAGUUUAUAUUCGAACGAAAUUUCUAAUGUAUAAUGAUUGCGAGAGUACUGUGAACCUUUCUGACUACGCUGACUUUCAGAGUUGAAUGAUUGUAUCUGAAAAUUGUACGCACUCUAUGAAAGCUAAUUUCGUCGAUCUUUGUAAUGAUUUGCAUCAGUCUAUCGUCCAAUGAAAAUGAAAAUAGUGAUCGAUGCUUGUCGAAAGAGCUGUAAUUUUAUAAUGUAUAAUGAUGUAAUUAGCACUAGAACUACCUGUAAUGACUCAUAUAUAUAGUAAUUAUAUAUUCAUAUAUAAUCCCUACAAAAAUUGUAAUAAAUAUCUUCAGUUUCUGUCAUACAUUAUAGUAUUUAAAAUAUCUGUUUUCAAUAUUAUUUCUAAUGCUCAAUGCUUUCGAGACAUCAAUAUCUGCGAAACAAGAAAAUCGAUACCAGCAGUUUUGACUGGUAGUUCUAGUGUUAGUUACGUACAAACGGAAAUGUAAUGUAAAACGAAUUAUGUAGAAUUAUGAAUUACAUAUGAAUGUAAAUGUCAA